UACGAAGGGGGCUAGCGUUGCUCGGAAUCACUGGGCGUAAAGGGUUCGUAGGCGGGUUUUUGAGUCAGGGGUGAAAUCCUGGAGCUCAACUCCAGAACUGCCUUUGAUACUGAGGAUCUUGAGUUCGGGAGAGGUGAGUGGAACUGCGAGUGUAGAGGUGAAAUUCGUAGAUAUUCGCAAGAACACCAGUGGCGAAGGCGGCUCACUGGCCCGAUACUGACGCUGAGGCACGAAAGCGUGGGGAGCAAACAGG
This 253-nucleotide ribosomal RNA is filed under the name uncultured bacterium. RNAcentral describes it as "partial 16S ribosomal RNA". It matches the Rfam family "Bacterial small subunit ribosomal RNA", at positions 524 to 776 of the family's 1533-position model. The record is from RNAcentral.